CCUACGGGACACAGCAGUAGGGAAUUUUCGUCAAUGGGCGCAAGCCUGAACGAGCAAUGCCGCGUGAACGAGGAAGGUCUUCGGAUCGUAAAGCUCUGUUGCGGGGGAAAAAAGGCAGCAUCAGGAAAUGGGUGCUGACUGAUGGUGCCCCGCCAGAAAGUCACGGCUAACUACGUGCCAGCAGCUGCGGUAAUACGUAGGUGGCGAGCGUUAUCCGGAAUGAUUGGGCGUAAAGGGUGCGCAGGCGGUCCUGCAAGUCUGGAGUGAAACGCAUGAGCUCAACUCAUGCAUGGCUUUGGAAACUG
This 305-nucleotide ribosomal RNA is filed under the name uncultured bacterium. RNAcentral's name for it is "bacterial SSU rRNA". It matches the Rfam family "Bacterial small subunit ribosomal RNA", at positions 338 to 635 of the family's 1533-position model. The record is from RNAcentral.